RNAcentral lists this ribosomal RNA (1373 nucleotides) under uncultured bacterium. RNAcentral's name for it is "bacterial SSU rRNA". It matches the Rfam family "Bacterial small subunit ribosomal RNA", at positions 28 to 1381 of the family's 1533-position model. The record is from RNAcentral.
GAUGAACGCUGGCGGCGUGCCUAAUACAUGCAAGUCGAGCGAACAGAUGAGAAGCUUGCUUCUCUGAUGUUAGCGGCGGACGGGUGAGUAACACGUGGGUAACCUACCUAUAAGACUGGGAUAACUCCGGGAAACCGGGGCUAAUACCGGAUAAUAUUUUGAACCGCAUGGUUCAAUAGUGAAAGACGGUUUCGGCUGUCACUUAUAGAUGGACCCGCGCCGUAUUAGCUAGUUGGUAAGGUAACGGCUUACCAAGGCGACGAUACGUAGCCGACCUGAGAGGGUGAUCGGCCACACUGGAACUGAGACACGGUCCAGACUCCUACGGGAGGCAGCAGUAGGGAAUCUUCCGCAAUGGGCGAAAGCCUGACGGAGCAACGCCGCGUGAGUGAUGAAGGUCUUCGGAUCGUAAAACUCUGUUGUUAGGGAAGAACAAAUUUGUUAGUAACUGAACAAGUCUUGACGGUACCUAACCAGAAAGCCACGGCUAACUACGUGCCAGCAGCCGCGGUAAUACGUAGGUGGCAAGCGUUAUCCGGAAUUAUUGGGCGCAAAGCGCGCGUAGGCGGUUUCUUAAGUCUGAUGUGAAAGCCCACGGCUCAACCGUGGAGGGUCAUUGGAAACUGGGAAACUUGAGUGCAGAAGAGGAGAGUGGAAUUCCAUGUGUAGCGGUGAAAUGCGCAGAGAUAUGGAGGAACACCAGUGGCGAAGGCGGCUCUCUGGUCUGUAACUGACGCUGAUGUGCGAAAGCGUGGGGAUCAAACAGGAUUAGAUACCCUGGUAGUCCACGCCGUAAACGAUGAGUGCUAAGUGUUAGGGGGUUUCCGCCCCUUAGUGCUGCAGCUAACGCAUUAAGCACUCCGCCUGGGGAGUACGACCGCAAGGUUGAAACUCAAAGGAAUUGACGGGGACCCGCACAAGCGGUGGAGCAUGUGGUUUAAUUCGAAGCAACGCGAAGAACCUUACCAAAUCUUGACAUCCUUUGACCGCUCUAGAGAUAGAGUCUUCCCCUUCGGGGGACAAAGUGACAGGUGGUGCAUGGUUGUCGUCAGCUCGUGUCGUGAGAUGUUGGGUUAAGUCCCGCAACGAGCGCAACCCUUAAGCUUAGUUGCCAUCAUUAAGUUGGGCACUCUAGGUUGACUGCCGGUGACAAACCGGAGGAAGGUGGGGAUGACGUCAAAUCAUCAUGCCCCUUAUGAUUUGGGCUACACACGUGCUACAAUGGAUAAUACAAAGGGCAGCGAAUCCGCGAGGCCAAGCAAAUCCCAUAAAAUUAUUCUCAGUUCGGAUUGUAGUCUGCAACUCGACUACAUGAAGCUGGAAUCGCUAGUAAUCGUAGAUCAGCAUGCUACGGUGAAUACGUUCCCGGGUCU